RNAcentral lists this ribosomal RNA (334 nucleotides) under uncultured eukaryote. RNAcentral's name for it is "partial 18S ribosomal RNA". It matches the Rfam family "Eukaryotic small subunit ribosomal RNA", at positions 1470 to 1796 of the family's 1831-position model. The record is from RNAcentral.
CCCUUAGAUGUCCGGGGCCGCACGCGCGCUACACUGAAGGAAUCAGCGUGGCUUUCUCCCUGGUCCGAAAGGACCGGGAAACCCGUUGAAUCUCCUUCGUGAUAGGGAUUGGGGCUUGAAAUUGUUCCCCAUGAACGAGGAAUUCCCAGUAAGCGCGAGUCAUAAGCUCGCGUUGAUUACGUCCCUGCCCUUUGUACACACCGCCCGUCGCUACUACCGAUUGAACGGUUUAGUGAGGGCCUCGGAUUGGUCUCGGCCCGCUCUUCACCGGGCGGCGCCGUUGGUCGAGAAGACGCUCGAACUUGAUCGUUUAGAGGAAGUAAAAGUCGUAACA